UGAACCCUCACCCUCUGCAAUGGAAGGCAAAGUCUUAACCACUGGAUUUCCAGGGAAGUCCCGGAUUUCUAUCUCAGUAAAAGAAGUGUCAAAAAACAAAAGAAACAUAACUGUGAAGAGAAGAUUGUAAGGAUAAUGGAAAUACAUGCAGUACCUUUACACUCUGUUGGUGGAGGAGAACAAAAAGCCUUCUCUCCUUCAAAGAGCAGCGAAACCUUUUCUUCCGUCUCAGAUGGGACAUCUCCUCCCACCUCCUAACGGUUUCCUCAAGUCUCUCCAC
Molecule: long non-coding RNA, 280 nt
Organism: Mesoplodon densirostris (Blainville's beaked whale)
Lineage: Eukaryota; Metazoa; Chordata; Mammalia; Artiodactyla; Ziphiidae
Exons: 3
Source: RefSeq, a predicted model, not a curated record